AACUUCCAAACACCCCAAACCUCUCAUAUUUCCCAAAUCUCUCAAAUUUCAAAUCCCUAAAACCCUAAAACACUCUCCUCUCUCUUAUUUCUCUUAAACCCUCUUCAAAUCCUCACAGAUUCUCAAUUCGAUUUCAAUAUAUUUUUUGUUUAUUUUUACUUUUCUUUCUUUGCAAGUAUCUUAAUUUUGUGGCUUGGAAAAUGUGGAACUUCAUUUAUUCAUACAACAAAUCCAUCGCAAAAAAUCCCAAUUCAAGUUUUUUUCUUCUUUUUAUUUGCAUUUGUUAUUUUUGCUAUUUUAUUUUAGUUUUAGUAUUGAUUUGUUGUGGGUUAGUUGGUUAGUACAUAUUUGAUAGUUAGUUUAGUUUAAAAGAUAAUAAACAUGCCUCCAAGAAUGA
Molecule: long non-coding RNA, 397 nt
Filed under: Gossypium raimondii (Peruvian cotton)
Lineage: Eukaryota; Viridiplantae; Streptophyta; Magnoliopsida; Malvales; Malvaceae
Description: long non-coding RNA (GRAI_LNC009247)
Source: RNAcentral